GACGAACGCUGGCGGCGUGCCUAAUACAUGCAAGUAGAACGCUGAAGGAGGAGCUUGCUCUUCUGGAUGAGUUGCGAACGGGUGAGUAACGCGUAGGUAACCUGCCUGGUAGCGGGGGGUAACUAUUGGAAACGAUAGCUAAUACCGCAUAAGAGUAGAUGUUGCAUGACAUUUACUUAAAAGGUGCAAUUGCAUCACUACCAGAUGGACCUGCGUUGUAUUAGCUAGUUGGUGGGGUAACGGCUUACCAAGGCGACGAUACAUAGCCGACCUGGGAGGGUGAUCGGCCACACUGGGACUGAGACACGGCCCAGACUCCUACGGGAGGCAGCAGUAGGGAAUCUUCGGCAAUGGACGGAAGUCUGACCGAGCAACGCCGCGUGAGGGAAGAAGGUUCUCGGAUCGUAAAGCUCUGUUGUAAGAGAAGAACGAGUGUGAGAGUGGAAAGUUCACACUGUGACGGUAUCUUACCAGAAAGGGACGGCUAACUACGUG
This 495-nucleotide ribosomal RNA is filed under the name uncultured bacterium. Its description in RNAcentral is "partial 16S ribosomal RNA". It matches the Rfam family "Bacterial small subunit ribosomal RNA", at positions 28 to 507 of the family's 1533-position model. The record is from RNAcentral.